RNAcentral lists this ribosomal RNA (449 nucleotides) under uncultured bacterium. RNAcentral describes it as "partial 16S ribosomal RNA". It matches the Rfam family "Bacterial small subunit ribosomal RNA", at positions 29 to 523 of the family's 1533-position model. The record is from RNAcentral.
AGCGAACGCUGGCGGCAGGCUUAACACAUGCAAGUCGAACGGGCCUUUCGGGGCUAGUGGCGGACGGGUGAGUAACGCGUGGGAACGUGCCCAAAGGUAGGGAACAACCGAGGGAAACUUCGGCUAAUACCCUAUGUGCCCGGAAGGGGAAAGAUUUAUCGCCUUUGGAGCGGCCCGCGUCUGAUUAGCUAGUUGGUGGGGUAAAGGCUCACCAAGGCUUCGAUCAGUAGCUGGUCUGAGAGGAUGGCCAGCCACACUGGGACUGAGACACGGCCCAGACUCCUACGGGAGGCAGCAGUGGGGAAUCUUGCGCAAUGGGCGAAAGCCUGACGCAGCCAUGCCGCGUGGAUGAUGAAGGUCUUAGGAUUGUAAAAUCCUUUCAGCGGGGACGAUAAUGACGGUACCCGCAGAAGAAGCCCCGGCUAACUUCGUGCCAGCCGCCGCAGUAA